AUGCUUUCACAACUUGACUUCAAAAUAUUUGGUUUGGAGACCAUCAAAGAUCAAUAUGUGCAUGAUGCUGAUUUUAAAGAUGUAAUGCAGAAUUGUAAAGAAGGAAGAAUGUGGAACAAGUUUCUCGUUAACGAUGGAUUUGUGUUUCGUGCUAACAAGCUAUGCAUUCCAGCUAGCUCCGUUCGUCUUUUGUUGUUGCAGGAGGCACAUGGAGGAGGAUUAAUGGGACACUUUGGCGUGAAGAAGACGGAGGACGUACUUGCUACACAUUUCUUUUGGCCAAAGAUGAGACGGGAUGUUCAGCGGGCUGUUUUGAAGAAUAAUAAGAAAAUGUGGGAGGAAUGCUUGCCUCAUAUUGAAUUUGCUUAUAAUCGUUCAUUGCAUUCUACUACUAAGAUGUGCCCUUUUGAAGUUGUGUAUGGUUUCCUACCUCGUGCACCUAUUGAUUUGUUGCCUCUUCCAUCUUCGGAGAAGGUUAAUUUUGAUGCUAAACAACGUGCUGAAUUGAUUUUAAAAAUGCAUGAGUUAACUAAGGAAAACAUUGAGCGCAUGAAUGCUAAAUAUAAACUUGCUGGAGAUAAGGGUAGAAAACAUGUUGUGUUUGCACCUGGAGAUCUUGUUUGGUUACAUUUGCGUAAGGAUAGAUUUCCUGAUUUGCGCAAAUCAAAGUUAAUGCCACGUGCUGAUGGUCCCUUUAAGGUGUUAGAGAAAAUAAAUUAUAAUGCAUAUAAACUUGAGCUGCCUGCAGAUUUUGGGGUUAGUCCCACUUUUAACAUUGCAGAUUUGAAGCCUUAUUUGGGUGAGGAAGAUGAACUUCCGUCGAGGACGACUUCAUUUCAAGAAGGGGAGGAUGAUGAGGACAUCAAUACAAUUGUUACACCCACAGCCCCUGCUGCUAUACAUACUGGACCAAUUACUAGAGCUCGUGCACGGCAACUAAACUACCAGGAAACAGACCCUCGUGGUCAGGUUGAUCGUGCUCCGGCGUGGUCAAUAACCUCUCGGAGUUGGUUUAGCGAUUGCUAA
This 1026-nucleotide ribosomal RNA is filed under the name Triticum aestivum (bread wheat). Its description in RNAcentral is "partial small subunit ribosomal RNA". The record is from RNAcentral. Lineage: Eukaryota; Viridiplantae; Streptophyta; Magnoliopsida; Poales; Poaceae.